AGGUUGGCUUAGAAGCAGCCAUCCUUUAAAGAAAGCGUAAUAGCUCACUAGUCGAGUCGGCCUGCGCGGAAGAUUUAACGGGGCUAAACUGAUAACCGAAGCUGCGGACGCAUACUUGUAUGCGUGGUAGAGGAGCGUUCUGUAAGCCGUUGAAGGUGCAUUGUAAAGUGUGCUGGAGGUAUCAGAAGUGCGAAUGCUGACGUGAGUAACGAUAAAGCGGGUGAAAAACCCGCUCGCCGGAAGAUCAAGGUUUCCUGUCCAACGCUAAUCGGGACAGGGUUAGUCGGUACCUAAGGCGAGGCCGAAAGGCGUAGUCGAUGGAAAACAGGUUAAUAUUCCUGUACCGCUAUAUACUGCGAUGGGGGGACGGAGAAGGCUAGGUGAUCAGGGCGAUGGUUGUCCCUGUACAAGCUUGUAGGGAGAUCUCUUAGGUAAAUCCGGGAGAUCAUUAUCCUGAGGAGUGAUGUCGAGCUCAAUUGCGAGCGAAGUCAUUAAUGCCAUGCUUCCAAGAAAAGCCUCUAAGCUUCAGGUAUAUAGAGACCGUACUCCAAACCGACACAGGUGAUCAGGUAGAGAAUACCAAGGCGCUUGAGAGAACUAUGGUGAAGGAACUAGGCAAAAUGGUGCCGUAACUUCGGGAGAAGGCACGCCGAUUUUGGUGAUGGGAUUUACUCCCUAAGCUGAGGUUGGCCGCAGAGACCAGGCCCCUGCGACUGUUUAUCUAAAACACAGCACUCUGCAAACUCGUAAGAGGAAGUAUAGGGUGUGACGCCUGCCCGGUGCCGGAAGGUUAAUUGAUGGGGUUAGCUUCGGCGAAGCUCUUGAUCGAAGCCCCGGUAAACGGCGGCCGUAACUAUAACGGUCCUAAGGUAGCGAAAUUCCUUGUCGGGUAAGUUCCGACCUGCACGAAUGGCGUAACGACGGGGGCGCUGUCUCCACCAUAGACUCAGUGAAAUCGAAAUCGCGGUGAAGAUGCCGUGUUCCCGCGGCUAGACGGAAAGACCCCGUGAACCUUUACUAUAGCUUGGCACUGAACUUUGAAUCUAUCUGUGUAGGAUAGGUGGGAGGCUUUGAAGCGUUAUCGCUAGAUAGCGUGGAGCCACCCUUGAAAUACCACCCUGGUAUAUUUGAGGUUCUAACUCUGACCCAUUAUCUGGGUCGAGGACAGUGUCUGGUGGGUAGUUUGACUGGGGCGGUCUCCUCCCAAAGAGUAACGGAGGAGCGCGAAGGUACACUCAGCAUGGUCGGAAAUCAUGCUAUGAGCGCAAAGGUAGAAGUGUGCUUGACUGCGAGACUGACACGUCGAGCAGGUACGAAAGUAGGUCUUAGUGAUCCGGUGGUUCUGUAUGGAAGGGCCAUCGCUCAACGGAUAAAAGGUACUCUGGGGAUAACAGGCUGAUUCCUCCCAAGAGUUCAUAUCGACGGGGGAGUUUGGCACCUCGAUGUCGGCUCAUCACAUCCUGGGGCUGUAGUCGGUCCCAAGGGUAUGGCUGUUCGCCAUUUAAAGUGGUACGUGAGCUGGGUUUAAAACGUCGUGAGACAGUUUGGUCCCUAUCUGCCGUGGGCGUUGGAAGUUUGAAGGGGGCUGUUCCUAGUACGAGAGGACCGGAAUGGACAGAUCUCUGGUGGACCGGUUGUUACGCCAGUAGCAUAGCCGGGUAGCUAAAUCUGGAAGAGAUAAACGCUGAAAGCAUCUAAGCGUGAAACUUGCCCUAAGAUGAGACUUCCCUUGCACUUUAAGUGCACUAAAGAGUCGUUCAAGACCAGGACGUUGAUAGGUCAGGUGUGGAAGUGCAGUAAUGCAUGAAGCUAACUGAUACUAAUUGCUCGUGAGGCUUGAUC
Molecule: ribosomal RNA, 1842 nt
Filed under: seawater metagenome
Description: bacterial LSU rRNA
Rfam family: Bacterial large subunit ribosomal RNA
Source: RNAcentral